RNAcentral lists this long non-coding RNA (515 nucleotides) under Nicotiana tabacum (common tobacco). RNAcentral describes it as "long non-coding RNA (NTAB_LNC000612)". The record is from RNAcentral. Lineage: Eukaryota; Viridiplantae; Streptophyta; Magnoliopsida; Solanales; Solanaceae.
UUCAUAUUCUUUUCAAAUUCAGCCUCUUCUCCGUUAUCUAUCCUCAAAUCCCAAAACCCCCCAUUUCCACUUCUCUCACCUCACAUUUUGCUUAAAAACUCCAUCUUUGAACUCCAAAAAAAAAAAAUCCAAAACACUUCAGAUCACAAAAACCCCAUUUCCACUUUCCCUUUUUAUACUUAGAUCUCCACUUCUUUCAUCUCACAUUUGCUUAAAAAUUCAUACUUUGAACCUAAAAACCAAACAAACACCUCAAAUCUCAAAAACCCCAUUUCCACUUUCCCUUAUUAUACUCAGAUCUCCACUUCUUUCAUCUCACAUUUGCUUAAAGAUUCAAUCUUUGAACCAAAAAACCCAACAAAUACCUCAAAUCUCAAAAACCCCAUUUCCAAAUUCCUUUCUUAUACACAAAUUUCCACUUUUUUCACCUCAAGUUUGCUUAAAGAUUCAAUCUUUGAACAAAAACAAGAUUCUUGAUUUUCAGAUGACUUAUGUGAGAUGAAGGAAAAAACACA